Molecule: long non-coding RNA, 826 nt
Filed under: Dasypus novemcinctus (nine-banded armadillo)
Lineage: Eukaryota; Metazoa; Chordata; Mammalia; Cingulata; Dasypodidae
Description: lncRNA (ENSDNOG00000052061.1)
Source: RNAcentral
CACACAGCUGGCAAGUGGAGGAGGAGCACUAGCACAGCCCCGUGUGACUUUUUCAACGUCUGUCCUUCCCUCCAGCCUGGCCUGCAAUACCCUGAAGUAUACAUCCAGACGCUACUAUUUCCACCCUCUCCAGCAGCAGAGGUGCGGGGCUCCCACAGGUAGACUCCUUGGCCUUUCUCAACCACCAGUGACUCAAAAAAUUGGCAGAUCUGCAGCAAUCAACAGGAAAGGAAGACCUUCUUUGCAUCCCACUGCCGAUGAAAAGUCCAAACCAAUGAUCCUGCAUCCAAGGCCCUCGUUGAUCUGGCCCAUGCCAGCCUUUCCCCUGCUGGGCACCCUGCUAUCCCCUUAAAACAUGAGUUUAAUCCACAAAACAAUUGUGGAUUAAAAGGAAUGGGAGUUACUUUUUCCAUAUUUUAUGAAUGAGAACUUUGAGAUGCAGAGAAGUUGCAUGACAUAUUAUUUGGGACCAUUUAGUUGCAACAGAUAGACCCUUAUCGCAAAAAAGCUUAGGCAAAAAACAAACAAACAAACAAAAACUAACCUGCAUAACUAGGAAGUCCAAGGGUAGUGUUGACUUCAGGUCAACCUUGAUCCAGGACAUCCACCACAGCACCAAGACUCCAUCUUUGUCAAUCUCUUUGCACUGCUUGCCGCUGCUUGGCUUUAUUCUCCAUCUCUAUCGCCAUGGUAGCAAGAUGGCCCCAGCAGCUUCAUAUUUCAGUGGUCAUUAGAGCCCAUGAUACUGUGGAAAGACAAGGUCUCUUUCUGGAUUGCACUGGCAAAGUCUCAGAGAGAAAUCUGAUGAUUAGGUCUGGGUCAUUUG